AUAGACGAGUAUGAAUGUGGUGCGCGUUACGGUUUACUUCGUGACUAGAUACAUACUCGUCUACG
This 65-nucleotide microRNA precursor is filed under the name Melipona quadrifasciata. The record is from RNAcentral. Lineage: Eukaryota; Metazoa; Arthropoda; Insecta; Hymenoptera; Apidae. RNAcentral also lists the same sequence under 1 other name.